This 214-nucleotide small RNA is filed under the name Propithecus coquereli (Coquerel's sifaka). RNAcentral describes it as "7SK RNA (ENSPCOG00000008601.1)". It matches the Rfam family "7SK RNA", at positions 81 to 331 of the family's 331-position model. From Rfam's summary of the family: 7SK was discovered as an abundant small nuclear RNA in the mid-70s but a possible function has only recently been suggested. The record is from RNAcentral. Lineage: Eukaryota; Metazoa; Chordata; Mammalia; Primates; Indriidae.
GGGUGUGCCCUACCUCCCUCACUGCUCCAUGUGUGCCCUCCUGAAGCUGCAGGCUCAGUCAAAGAGGACGACCUUCCCAAUAGAGGAGGACCUUUCUUCAGUCAAGGGUAUAUGAGUAGCUGCACUCCCUUGCUAGAACCUCCAAAUAAGCUCUCAAGAAACCCCUGCACCAGGGGUUUUGAGCAGAGGAGUGAUUAUGGUCAGACUUCUGUUU